Molecule: small RNA, 347 nt
Filed under: Histoplasma capsulatum
Lineage: Eukaryota; Fungi; Ascomycota; Eurotiomycetes; Onygenales; Ajellomycetaceae
Also listed under: 1 other name
Description: hypothetical RNA
Source: RNAcentral
AAAAUACAGUCAUACACAUACACAACAUUAUUAAUAAAUCUAAUCCACUCAUCGGUUGGGAUUAGGAUUAAGCUUGGAUAGUAGAGGGCAACCCCUUGAAUCACAGCAGGAAGGUGUAGUUUUAGUAACCUGGUUCAAAAAGUUGCGUGUAUGGAACCCGUGGACCGUUGCCAUGGUUGGGAGCUUGAAACACACUGAAAGCUUUUCCGGACGAAGAAGCUGUUUUUGAACCCUGCCCAGCUGUAAUCUGUAUGCCGAUUGGAGUAUUUAUGCCGGCAUGAUGUUGGAUGGGAGAAAACGCAAGUGUCGCAGUAAGCUCCAGCUGGGAAUGAGAUACUGCCAAUAAG